Molecule: ribosomal RNA, 565 nt
Filed under: Kluyveromyces marxianus
Lineage: Eukaryota; Fungi; Ascomycota; Saccharomycetes; Saccharomycetales; Saccharomycetaceae
Description: eukaryotic LSU rRNA
Rfam family: 5.8S ribosomal RNA (bases 114-267)
Source: RNAcentral
GAGUUUUUUCUCUAUGAACUACUUCCCUGGAGAGCUCGUCUCUCCAGUGGACAUAAACACAAACAAUAUUUUGUAUUAUGAAAAACUAUUAUACUAUAAAAUUUAAUAUUCAAAACUUUCAACAACGGAUCUCUUGGUUCUCGCAUCGAUGAAGAACGCAGCGAAUUGCGAUAUGUAUUGUGAAUUGCAGAUUUUCGUGAAUCAUCAAAUCUUUGAACGCACAUUGCGCCCUCUGGUAUUCCAGGGGGCAUGCCUGUUUGAGCGUCAUUUCUCUCUCAAACCUUUGGGUUUGGUAGUGAGUGAUACUCGUCUCGGGUUAACUUGAAAGUGGCUAGCCGUUGCCAUCUGCGUGAGCAGGGCUGCGUGUCAAGUCUAUGGACUCGACUCUUGCACAUCUACGUCUUAGGUUUGCGCCAAUUCGUGGUAAGCUUGGGUCAUAGAGACUCAUAGGUGUUAUAAAGACCCGCUGGUGUUUGUCUCCUUGAGGCAUACGGCUUUAACCAAAACUCUCAAAGUUUGACCUCAAAUCAGGUAGGGGUACCCGCUGAACUUAAGCAUAUCAUAA